Molecule: long non-coding RNA, 1627 nt
Organism: Sciurus carolinensis (gray squirrel)
Lineage: Eukaryota; Metazoa; Chordata; Mammalia; Rodentia; Sciuridae
Exons: 3
Source: RefSeq, a predicted model, not a curated record
ACAUUUUUAAAAGUCGUUGAUCCAGAGAUACAAUGUAACCUUGAAGAAUAAAAGCAAGUUAUGCUAUGAAAGAUAUUAUUAUGUGCUUCAAACCAAUCAAAUCAAGUCUCAAGAGUUGUUAACUUUAUGCAGUACAUGUCCAGAAUACUGACUCAUAAUACUAAUCUUGAGCAUGAUUUCUCAUUAAUGACUGACUCUUCAGUGGCCAAAGCAACAAAAUAAGUUUGAUGUGACCACUGCAGAAGCCAUGCUAGUUAAAAUGUAAAUGGAACACAGACCAGAACUGAAAGGAAUUUUAUAAGCAAAUUCUGCAAAAUAAUGAGGAAGUAGUAAGAAGAAAAAAUCACCAAGGAAAUUUAAUGAAAGAAAAAGGAAGUUUUGCUGUGGGAGGAAGAAGGAAUGUCUGGGAAUAGAUGGAAGGACCCCAUCCAUGCCUUUGGACUGACUUGAGCACUUUCUAGAGAGAGUAGACAUAACAAGAAGGUGAUGGGUCAUUUCAAGAUGGACUUUCCAACAUUCAGCGCAGAACAGAACUGCUCAAGGACCCAGGUGACCUGGUGCAGCUCAGAAGGAGCCAAUCCAGUCCUAGCCCUGCAGGAAAUGCUCUGCUGUGGGGCAUAGGAGAGUCCCUGGUCUCUUAUGAUGGUUGAGGCAGAGGCGAUGCGCCUCCAAGGGGAUUUAGGAGCACAGACAUGAAGAAAUGGGGCUGAAGAUCAGAAAAAGGCCAGAGGCAGCCUGGGAACCACAGGGCAGGUGAUUUUAUGGUCUCUUGUCAGCCUCCUUUUAGCCUUCCAGACAGAAAUGGGGCACUCUGAGAAGUGCAGAGGUUCCAUUAUUGUGGACGUGUGCUGGGGAGUCAGCAGUCAAGUGGGCUACAGAAAGAAACAUGGAUGCUACUUGAGAGAGUAUGUUGGUCCCAGAGGAACAUGACUGGGGCAGGCCCUGCUUACAGACCUUACAAAAAGCUCUCCCAGUCUUCCUUUUAGUAAUAGGCUAUAUCACUUUGAGGUUAGCCACUCUCCAUAGGAUUAUAUUUUUCUGACAAAAAUCUUGCUAAUAUGUUUUGAACUGAAGAGAUACAUUCAUCCUCUGGAGCAUGUUACUGAAAGAAAACUGUAUUUUCUUUCUUCUGAUAAAUUGGAAUGAGGUGGCCAACCACAUCCAAAACAAUGUAGGCUGAAUCUUCUACCUUGGGGAUGAAGAUACCACUCUGGGACAGAUGAUGAUGGAAACAUUGCACGUCUGUACUGCCCCAGACAGUAACCACUAGGCACAUACACAGAGGUCUCACUAUGAUGCCCAGGCUGGCUUCAAACUCCUGACUCAAGUGAUUCUCUGACCUCAACUUCUGGAGAAGCUGAAAUUUCUGUUAUGGUUUGAAUAUGAAGUGUCCCACAACAGCUCCUGUAUUAAUGCAGGAAUAUUCAGAGGUGAAAUGAUUAAGUUAUGAGAGCCGUAACCCAAUCAGUCCAUCCUAGUUUGAAUGGACUGACUGGGUGGUGAGGUGUGAGGAGAGGAGGUGGGACACUAAGAUUGUGCCCCAGAAGGGUGCAUCUUCCCUGUGGUCCCUUUCCUAUCCUCUCUGUCUGCUUCCUGACCCCACCAUGAUCUGAAUAGCUUUCCUCCA